RNAcentral lists this long non-coding RNA (1647 nucleotides) under Olea europaea subsp. europaea. The record is from RNAcentral. Lineage: Eukaryota; Viridiplantae; Streptophyta; Magnoliopsida; Lamiales; Oleaceae.
ACUAAACUCGGUGGUGUUUUGAAUUGAUGUUAGGUCCAAUCACCAGGAAUGUUUAUAGAUUAGUUGAUAAAGAUAUCUUUGGAGAUGCUGUAAUUUGAGAGAGAAUGCAGAUCCCUACAACCAAUUCUUAUCAGUUCAAUGCUGCUAAAACAACCAAAAUCCUUAAUAUUCAGGUAAUGGAGAUCCUUUCAUUUUUAGGUACCGAUAACAAAUGUGGUUCUAUUGUGCUUUCGAACAACUAAACAGUAUUCUUGUUAUUCUUGAUGAAGCUGCUAUAGCUGCAAUUAUGAAUGCUGACAAUUGGAAAACUUAGCUACGAGGCAAUUUCAGACAGAGGAUAGCAAAUAGGAUGUAUACAUUACCUUAAUUGUUAUAAAUUUAACCGUUAUUACAAAACAUUGCUGCCCCCAAAUUAUUGUCAGUUCAUGUUGACUUGCACGAAAUUUUUGAAAGUUGUAUGACAUGAUGCACACCCAUGAUGCCUUUGAGAUGAAUUCACUAAUAAAUAUUUAAGCUCUUAAGAGGGAGGAUUUUUAUUAUAUGGUGAUAUUUUACAAUGACAUGCACAUUCAUGAUGCUUUUAGAUAAAUCACAAAUCUUAGACGAUAUUUACAAAAUUUAUAUGCGUAUAUCACAUUUGGUAUGCUAAAAGAAUAAUAGAAUAUUGAUUUGUGUACAAUUGUACUUUAAGAGUACUUGUUACUUUACUUCGAAGGUGAUUCAGAAUAUUGCCUUGUAUAUUAGUGUGUAUUUAGAUGAUCCUUUGAAGUUCGAAGAUUAAUUUUUUGUUAUCUGAGUUAGAUAUAUCAUUAUACUAAAUAAAAGAGGGAAUAGGCCUUCAAUGUUCAUUCUUAUGCUUCCCCUUUUCACACUUGACUGUUUUCUACCAUUCACAAACUGGUUACAAAUGGGCGUACAUUAAAAGCUCUCAUACAAAAAUCUUCUCUCACACGCCUCUCUGAUGCUACUAGAUGGAAAGUAGCCCUAACCAUUCCUUUCCCCUUUCCCUUUGUCGGAUCUCCAAAGAGACUUGUGGUCUCCUUAAGAUCCUCUUGGAGAAGAAACAAUGGAAUCAUUGCAUCGUUCUUUGAUUCACAAUCGGCUUCUCAAAACAGUUAGAGUUACGACUCUCUCAAGAAUUUUUUUAGACACAUCUCAAGAAAAUUUGUUUUAUCAAUUCGUGAACAUAUUCUUCGUUAUUCUUGGGAAAGAACUGAUAGUUUCAUGUCAAUAAUGGAAUAUUUUUUGCCCCCUUUUACCCCUUUUCAGCUUAAAGUGUAGGAAUAUUAUGGUCUCUCCCUUAUCGCUUCCAAACAAAUUGCAUCGACAAGAAUUCUUAUAUUUUUUGUUGGCAGUGUAUGGCGGUGCUUUUUGUUAUGAGAUCAAGCACAUGCUAGAGCCUUCUAGCUCAGAUGAGCUCUCUUGUGCCGAUUACUUCUAUAUCCACGGAGUCAACAUGAAGAACGAUUCUGGCCUUGAAGGUCUCAUGAAGAUGGUAGAUCUUGUAAUCCUCCAACUAGUUGAUCGAUCUUUUCCAUAUCAAUUUUGUUUGAUUAUUCAGUUUCUGUGCUUUAUUUUUUUUCUAUUCUACUUGUUCUAUUAAAUUUCUACUAUGAAGGGAUUAAUAUCGUGCAAUUGCAGGUUGGA